CCCCUUUCUUGGCAGGGGAGAUGCGAUGAUCACGAAGGUGGUUUUCCCGGGGCGAGGCUUAUCCAUUGCACUCCGGACGUGUUGACCCCUGUGAUUUCCCCAAACGUGUGAAACUCAACUGCAUAAUUUGUGGUAGUUGGGGAAUGCAUUCAUGCUUUCCCUGU
This 164-nucleotide small nuclear RNA is filed under the name Aotus nancymaae (Ma's night monkey). RNAcentral describes it as "U1 spliceosomal RNA (ENSANAG00000011752.1)". It matches the Rfam family "U1 spliceosomal RNA". Rfam says of the family: U1 is a small nuclear RNA (snRNA) component of the spliceosome (involved in pre-mRNA splicing). Its 5' end forms complementary base pairs with the 5' splice junction, thus defining the 5' donor site of an intron. Lineage: Eukaryota; Metazoa; Chordata; Mammalia; Primates; Aotidae. The record is from Rfam by way of RNAcentral.